CCUGUUACUGCACCUAGCCAGUUCUCUGUUGGCUGAUGCAAUCCAGUGGUAAGCUGAUGGUAAACCCCAGUUUUUAGGAAAACAGGGUUAUUGUUCAUGUGGAUGAUUCUGUUUCAAAAGCAUAGGAAUAGCC
RNAcentral lists this small nucleolar RNA (133 nucleotides) under Castor canadensis (American beaver). RNAcentral describes it as "Small nucleolar RNA SNORA65 (ENSCCNG00000006054.1)". It matches the Rfam family "Small nucleolar RNA SNORA65". Rfam says of the family: U65 belongs to the H/ACA class of snoRNAs which are thought to guide the sites of modification of uridines to pseudouridines. The record is from Rfam by way of RNAcentral. Lineage: Eukaryota; Metazoa; Chordata; Mammalia; Rodentia; Castoridae.